Long non-coding RNA from Homo sapiens (human), 1569 nucleotides. NCBI's taxonomy places the organism in Eukaryota, Metazoa, Chordata, Mammalia, Primates, Hominidae. The record is from Ensembl.
UGUAUUUUUAGUAGAGACAGGGUUUCUCCAAGUUGGUCGGGCUGGUCUCAAACUCCCAACCUCAGGUGAUAUGCCUGCUUCGGCCUCCCAAAGUGCUGGUAUUACAGGCAUGAGCCAACAGGCCCGGGCCCCACUGUAGUUUUAAUUUGCAUUUCCCUGAUGAAUAAUGAUGUUCAGACCUUUUUGUGUGCUUUGCUUAUUGGCCAUUUUAAUUUUCUCUUUUCUAGAGUUUCUUUUCAAGUUUUGCCCCAAUUUUUAACAACUGAGUUAUCUAUCAUUGAGUAUUCUGUAUACGAGUCCUUUUCAAGGAGAGAUUUCAAAUAUCAUCUCCCAGCACAGAGGCUGCCUUUUUGUUAUUCUAAUGAUGUCUUUUGAUAAACAACAUGUAACAUUUUAAUGUUGUUCAAGUCCUAGGGUCGUUCAGAGGAUCAACAAUGUCAUCAAAGUGUCGAGCUUUUACUGUCCUUCGUUUUACCCCUCAGAGUGUGGUCCACCUUCCAUCUGCAGGGUUCUCUGCAAGCCCUUUUACAUCCACUUAUUUGACCCUCACAAUGGCACUUUGUGGGUGCAGAGCUGCAAAGAUGACUGCCUCAUUUUAUGGAGGAGGAAACUCAGGCCCAGAGAGGAAGAGGAGGAGUCACCUACACAAGGUCACAUGGCUACUAAGUGCCCAGUGGGCAUUUAAACUCAGCUCCAUUUCCCUACAGCUGCCUUUUUCUGGGCAGGGCCAAGGUUGCUCCAGUGCUUGGGAGGGGAGAGCAGGUCUCCUCGUGGUAGACUCCUCUCUGCAGUGUCCCCCUGGCAAGAGCACCAUUAAAGAUAAUGGGGGUCUGUGCCCAGAUGUGGCCCCAGGACCAUCCCAUUGUACAUCAGCCUGCCACAGGGAACGACUAUCCUGUCCCCAUUGCCAGAACCCUGCUUAGUCCUUUUGGAAGCAAGAAGCCCUCCUCCCCCUCUCAGAGAAAUGGCAGUUUUAGGAGUCCAGGAGAGAAGGUAGCGGAGUCCCAUGGGGUCAGCAGAGGUGCUGAUGCGAUUGGUCACUCACCAGACAGCAUCAACUAACCCCACCCCCUGGGAGGAAUGGGGUGGCUCCAGGCUCCUUGGUCUCUUAGAAGUGGCUCGGCACCAGCAGGGUCUGUGAAGUGGAUUCCUUUCCCCAGAAUCUAAACCCUGAAAGCCCUUCUGAAACUGCCAUGCACAUGGGGCGUCAUCACCCACAGACCUCAUAAGCAACAGUGUGGAUUCACUCAUUUAUCGACUCACUCAUUCAUUCUGAUGCUUUUUAGCAUCUUACCUCAAGGAGCCUGUUAACAUUAAUCUAGUUCACUGUAGCAAUCUUUUCUUGUAUAAUAGUUCUUUUCUUUUAUGAUAGUGCUCGCUUCUCAGAGCUGGGGAGACAAUGAUGGACUAGAUUGCCUCACUAAGCCAAUGGUGGAGUGAAAGAGACCUUAAAGGGUUAAUCCCAUCAAUAUGCAAUUUGAGUGUGAUAACACUCAUAGGAAGAGCGUAGAGAUAGACAAAGCCAGAUGACUGAUUUAUUUGGGAGGUGUGGGAGGUUGGCUCACCAUA